Molecule: transfer RNA, 66 nt
Filed under: Charinus ferreus
Lineage: Eukaryota; Metazoa; Arthropoda; Arachnida; Amblypygi; Charinidae
Description: tRNA-Gln
Source: RNAcentral
UAAUUGGGGGUGUAAAGGCACAGUAAAUUUUGAUUUUAAAUGUAAUGAUUUGGUCAUUCCAGUUAA